Molecule: long non-coding RNA, 782 nt
Organism: Acromyrmex echinatior (Panamanian leafcutter ant)
Lineage: Eukaryota; Metazoa; Arthropoda; Insecta; Hymenoptera; Formicidae
Source: RefSeq, a predicted model, not a curated record
UUUUUCAGGGUCCUCAUACUGCGAGGAUCCUCCGGAUCUUCACUAUUUUUAUUGAUGAGCAAUUGCGCUACUAACAGAAUCAUGUAGAGGAAAGGAGACGAUUAUGGAAUAGAUGGGGGCUGUGAAAUAUCAUGAUAUGUUGUAUUACAGUUUGCGAUGCAUUCUAAGGGUGACCGUUAAAAUUACUUAUUACUGUUAGUCUGUUUAGACGUUAUAACAUGGCCAUUAAUGUUUACUGCAUGAGUUGCAUUUCAGUUUAGCAUUUUACUCGAAGAAUCUCUACUUAUAUUUAUAUCUUAUGUUAAUAUUCUAUGAUCUCUACUUAUAUUGAUAUUCUAUGAUUAACAAACUUUAUAAUGAAAGCAGUUAUUUCAAUAAAAUAAAAUAGUAUUUCAAUCCUUUCCUUUCCUCUACAUUGCAUUUGCUAAUAAAUUUUUUAUUUCAACGAAAACCUGCGAUACACGGAGAAAAACGAUAAAUUAACAAAAACAGAAUUCAUCAGCGUAUUAACAUUAAAGAGUCAGCGUAUUAAAAUCAAAGGAAGAAGCUACGGAUAGGAAAUACUAGGAGAUAUUCGAGACUUCGCGAGGCAUCCUCUCUAAGGACUUCCCCGGGACCUCGUCAUCUUUAUUACGAACAAUCGUACCGCUGAUAAAUAAAAAAACAUACACAUAAGUAAAACCAGUAUAUAGAAUUUAAUAAACUAACUCAUACAAAUAACUGAAGAUACAAAAUAAAAUGCGCGCAAAAAUGAAACGAUGGCCCGACUUGUCCCGGGCUUU